GACGAACGCUGGCGGCGUGCUUAACACAUGCAAGUCGAACGGAAAGGCCCUGCUUUUGUGGGGUGCUCGAGUGGCGAACGGGUGAGUAACACGUGAGUAACCUGCCCUUGACUUCGGGAUAACCUCAGGAAACUGGGGCUAAUACCGGAUAGGAGCACCGUCUGCAUGGUGGUGGGGGGAAAGUUUCGGCGGUGGGGGAUGGACUCGGCGCUUAUCAGUGUGUUGGUGGGGUAGUGGCUUACCAAGGCUUUGACGGGUAGCCGGCCUGAGAGGGUGCCCGGCCACAUUGGCUCUGAGAUACCGCCCACUCUCCUGCGGGAGACAGCAGUGGGGAAUAUUGCACAGUGCGCGGACGCCUGGUGCAGCAACGCCGCGUGCGAGAUGGCGGCCUUCGUGUUGUACACCGCUUUCGCCUGUGACGAAGCGUUAGUGACGGUAAUGGGUAAAGAAGCACCGGCUAACUACGUG
This 468-nucleotide ribosomal RNA is filed under the name uncultured bacterium. RNAcentral's name for it is "partial 16S ribosomal RNA". It matches the Rfam family "Bacterial small subunit ribosomal RNA", at positions 28 to 507 of the family's 1533-position model. The record is from RNAcentral.